This 263-nucleotide ribosomal RNA is filed under the name uncultured bacterium. Its description in RNAcentral is "partial 16S ribosomal RNA". The record is from RNAcentral.
CUGCUGCCUCCCGUAGGAGUUUGGGCCGUGUCUCAGUCCCAAUGUGGCCGUUCACCCUCUCAGGCCGGCUACUGAUCGUCGCUUUGGUGGGCCGUUACCCCGCCAACUGGCUAAUCAGACGCGGAUCCAUCGUAUACCACCGGAGUUUUUCACACUGUUCCAUGCGGAACCGUGCGCUUAUGCGGUAUUAGCACCUAUUUCUAAGUGUUAUCCCCCUGUUAUACGGCAGGUUAUCCACGCGUUACUCACCCGUCCGCCACUAA